CUGCUGCCUUCCGUAGGAGUUUGGGCCGUGUCUCAGUCCCAAUGUGGCCGUCCACCCUCUCAGGCCGGCUACUGAUCGUCGCCUUGGUGGGCCUUUACCCCACCAACCAGCUAAUCAGACGCGGGCCCAUCUUGCACCACCGGAAUUUUUCACACCGGACCAUGCGGCCCUGUGCGCUUAUGCGGUAUUAGCACCUAUUUCUAAGUGUUAUCCCCCAGUGCAAGGCAGGUUACCCACGCGUUACUCACCCGUCCGCCACUAAAG
Molecule: ribosomal RNA, 264 nt
Filed under: uncultured bacterium
Lineage: Bacteria
Description: partial 16S ribosomal RNA
Source: RNAcentral